Molecule: ribosomal RNA, 1286 nt
Filed under: human gut metagenome
Description: bacterial LSU rRNA
Rfam family: Bacterial large subunit ribosomal RNA
Source: RNAcentral
ACUGAUGAGGGACACACGUGUGUGUGGACUUGUGGUGAUCCUAUGCUGCCGAGAAAAGCCUCGACGUGAGGGCAUGACCUGCCCGUACCCUAAACCGACUCAGGUGGUCAGGUAGAGUAUACCGAGGCGUUCGAGUGAAUCGUGGUUAAGGAACUCGGCAAAAUUCCUCCGUAACUUCGGGAUAAGGAGGACCCCGUGACUUCCCAAUGCUUUGCGUGUUGGUGGGGUUGUGGGGUCGCAGAGAAUAGGGAGAAGCGACUGUUUAUCAAAAACACAGGUGCGUGCGAAGCCGUAAGGCGAUGUAUACGCACUGACGCCUGCCCGGUGCUGGAAGGUUAAGAGGAACUGUUAACAUUCUUUGUGGGUGUGAAGCGGUGAAUUUAAGCCCCAGUAAACGGCGGUGGUAACUAUAACCAUCCUAAGGUAGCGAAAUUCCUUGUCGGGUAAGUUCCGACCUGCACGAAUGGCGUAACGACUUCUCCGCUGUCUCAACCGCGAACUCGGUGAAAUUGCAGUACGAGUAAAGAUGCUCGUUUCGCGCAGAAGGACGGAAAGACCCCGGGACCUUUACUAUAGCUUGGUAUUGGUGUUCGCUUGGACUUGUGUAGGAUAGGUGGGAGACUGUGAAGCUGCCGCGCCAGCGGUGGUGGAGUCGUCGUUGAAAUACCAUUCUGGUUUAAGCGGUCACCUUAACCUUGGCCCGUGAUCCGGGUUGGGGACAGUGCCUGGUGGGUAGUUUAACUGGGGCGGUCGCCUCCGAAAAUGUAACGGAGGCGCUCAAAGGUUCCCUCAGCCUGGUUGGUAAUCAGGUGGCGAGUGCAAGUGUACAAGGGAGCUUGACUGUGAGACCGACGGGUCGAGCAGGUGCGAAAGCAGGAACUAGUGAUCCGGCCAUGGCACGUGGGUGCGUGGUCGCUCAACGGAUAAAAGGUACCCCGGGGAUAACAGGCUGAUCUUGCCCAAGAGUCCAUAUCGACGGCAUGGUUUGGCACCUCGAUGUCGGCUCGUCGCAUCCUGGGGCUGGAGUAGGUCCCAAGGGUUGGGCUGUUCGCCCAUUAAAGCGGUACGCGAGCUGGGUUCAGAACGUCGUGAGACAGUUCGGUCCCUAUCCUCUGUGCGCGCAGGAAAUUUGAGGAGGGCCGUCCCUAGUACGAGAGGACCGGGAUGGACGAACCUCUGGUGUGCCAGUUGUACCGCCAGGUGCAUGGCUGGUUAGCUACGUUCGGAAGGGAUAACCGCUGAAAGCAUCUAAGCGGGAAGCCUGCUCCAAGAUGAGGUUUCCGCGC